This 376-nucleotide ribosomal RNA is filed under the name uncultured organism. Its description in RNAcentral is "partial 16S ribosomal RNA". It matches the Rfam family "Bacterial small subunit ribosomal RNA", at positions 527 to 896 of the family's 1533-position model. The record is from RNAcentral.
GUAGGUGGCAAGCGUUGUCCGGAAUUAUUGGGCGUAAAGCGCGCGCAGGCGGUUCUUUAAGUCUGAUGUGAAAGCCCACGGCUCAACCGUGGAGGGUCAUUGGAAACUGGAGAACUUGAGUACAGAAGAGGAAAGCGGAAUUCCACGUGUAGCGGUGAAAUGCGUAGAGAUGUGGAGGAACACCAGUGGCGAAGGCGGCUUUCUGGUCUGUAACUGACGCUGAGGCGCGAAAGCGUGGGGAGCAAACAGGGAUUGGAUACCCUGGUAGUCCACGCCGUAAACGAUGAGUGCUAAGUGUUAGGGGGGUUUCCGGCCCCCCUUAGUGCUGCAGCUAACGCAUUAAGCACUCCGCCUGGGGAGUACGGCCGCAAGGCUG